UCCGGUUGAUCCUGCCGGGCCCGACCGCUAUCGGGGUGGGACUAAGCCAUGGGAGUCGUGCGCCCCCGGACGCGGGGGCGCGGCGGACGGCUGAGUAACACGUAGCCAACCUACCCUCGGGACGGGGAUAACCCCGGGAAACUGGGGCUAAUCCCCGAUAGGGGACGGGCGGUGGAACUCCCCCGUCCCCGAAAGGGCACGCGGAGCACCCUCCCCGCGUGCCGCCCGAGGAUGGGGCUGCGGCCCAUCAGGUAGUUGGCGGGGUAACGGCCCGCCAAGCCGAUAACGGGUAGGGGCCUUGGGAGAGGGAGCCCCCAGAUGGGCACUGAGACAAGGGCCCAGGCCCUACGGGGUGCACCAGGCGCGAAACCUCCGCAAUGCGGGCAACCGUGACGGGGUCACCCCGAGUGCCGCCCUUGCGGCUGUUCCCCGCUGUAAAAAGGCGGGGGAGUAAGCGGGGGGCAAGUCUGGUGUCAGCCGCCGCGGUAAUACCAGCCCCGCGAGCGGUCGGGACGCUUAUUGGGCCUAAAGCGCCCGUAGCCUGGCCCGGCAAGUCCCCCCCUAAAGCCCCGGGCUCAACCCGGGGAGUGGGGGGGAUACUGCCGGGCUAGGGGGCGGGAGAGGCCGAGGGUACUCCCGGGGUAGGGGCGAAAUCCGAUAAUCCCGGGAGGACCACCAGUGGCGAAGGCGCUCGGCUGGAACGCGCCCGACGGUGAGGGGCGAAAGCCGGGGGAGCAAACCGGAUUAGAUACCCGGGUAGUCCCGGCUGUAAACGAUGCGGGCUAUGGUGUUGGGCGGGCUUGGCGCCCGCCCAGUGCCGCAGGGAAGCCGUUAAGCCCGCCGCCUGUGGAGUGCGGCCGCAAGGCUGAAACGUUAGCAUGAAUUGGCGGGGGA
This 894-nucleotide ribosomal RNA is filed under the name uncultured archaeon. RNAcentral describes it as "bacterial SSU rRNA". It matches the Rfam family "Archaeal small subunit ribosomal RNA", at positions 1 to 875 of the family's 1478-position model. The record is from RNAcentral.